Molecule: unclassified non-coding RNA, 760 nt
Filed under: Hevea brasiliensis (rubber tree)
Lineage: Eukaryota; Viridiplantae; Streptophyta; Magnoliopsida; Malpighiales; Euphorbiaceae
Source: RNAcentral
AAUAAUUAACAUUAAUGACCAUUUAUUUUCACAAAGUAACAAUAAAAACUUCUUAAUUAAUCCCCCAAAGGUCAAACACAAAAACUCCAUAAAGCCAUUGGAUAAAAUGGCUCUAAGGAAUCCACCAACCAAUCCAAGACAAAGUAAUUAACUAAAUCCAAUUAGCUAUAAAACAACCUUCUAAAUAUUCAUAUAUUGGGUGAAUUUAAGUAAAUAUAAAACCAAAUGCAGAGAAAAGUUAAUUUCUCUCGUGGGAUAUAAUUAAUCAACUGAAUUGUACUAACUUUUGUGGACUCUUCUUUUGGUCUUAUUGUAAGGAAAAUACAAAUCCAAUACUUUAUGUUAUUCACCAAUAAUACCAAUAUAAUAAAAACCAACCAGACAGAACACAGAAGCUUAGUCUGUGAAAGUCACGUGAUGAGAAACCUCUUCAGUAGAAGGCAUAUUGAGAGGGUUAGAAGAACACCAUGGAUCAUCUGUGAUGAAUUGCAUCCAAGAAUCAUCUUUAUCUUCAUCGUCUGCGCAUGAAGAAGAAGGAAUGGGAACAUCAGGUGACAUUGUCUCGUAAUCAUGAUUUAUUAAACCACCUUGUGAUGAGCUCUGAUCCAUUAGUGAUACACUGCUACAUUGGCCUUGCUGAUCUUCCAUUUCAUUGCAUGUUCCAUUCUUCUUGAAUACACGACAUAAUGCAUAAGAGUCCUGAAUUCCAGAAGUGUCCUCGCAUUCCUUAUCAUCGAGGCGAUACUCGUGCAUUACCCAA